GGUUAAGCGACUAAGCGUACACGGUGGAUGCCCUGGCAGUCAGAGGCGAUGAAGGACGUGCUAAUCUGCGAAAAGCGUCGGUAAGGUGAUAUGAACCGUUAUAACCGGCGAUGUCCGAAUGGGGAAACCCAGUGCAAUUCGUUGCACUAUCGUUAACUGAAUACAUAGGUUAACGAGGCGAACCGGGGGAACUGAAACAUCUAAGUACCCCGAGGAAAAGAAAUCAACCGAGAUUCCCCCAGUAGCGGCGAGCGAACGGGGAGCAGCCCAGAGUCUGAAUCAGCUUGUGUGUUAGUGGAACGGUCUGGAAAGUCCGACGGUACAGGGUGAUAGUCCCGUACACCAAAAUGCACAGGCUGUGAACUCGAAGAGUAGGGCGGGACACGUGGUAUCCUGUCUGAAUAUGGGGGGACCAUCCUCCAAGGCUAAAUACUCCUGACUGACCGAUAGUGAACCAGUACCGUGAGGGAAAGGCGAAAAGAACCCCGGCGAGGGGAGUGAAAAAGAACCUGAAACCGUGUACGUACAAGCAGUGGGAGCACCUUCGGGUGUGACUGCGUACCUUUUGUAUAAUGGGUCAGCGACUUAUAUUCUGUAGCAAGGUUAACCGUAUAGGGGAGCCGCAGGGAAACCGAGUCUUAACUGGGCGUUAAGUUGCAGGGUAUAGACCCGAAACCCGGUGAUCUAGCCAUGGGCAGGUUGAAGGUUGGGUAACACUAACUGGAGGACCGAACCGACUAAUGUUGAAAAAUUAGCGGAUGACUUGUGGCUGGGGGUGAAAGGCCAAUCAAACCGGGAGAUAGCUGGUUCUCCCCGAAAGCUAUUUAGGUAGCGCCUCGUGAAUUCAUCUUCGGGGGUAGAGCACUGUUUCGGCUAGGGGGUCAUCCCGACUUACCAACCCGAUGCAAACUACGAAUACCGAAGAAUGUUAUCACGGGAGACACACGGCGGGUGCUAACGUCCGUCGUGAAGAGGGAAACAACCCAGACCGCCAGCUAAGGUCCCAAAGUCAUGGUUAAGUGGGAAACGAUGUGGGAAGGCACAGACAGCCAGGAUGUUGGCUUAGAAGCAGCCAUCAUUUAAAGAAAGCGUAAUAGCUCACUGGUCGAGUCGGCCUGCGCGGAAGAUGUAACGGGGCUAAACCAUGCACCGAAGCUGCGGCAGCGACACUAUGUGUUGUUGGGUAGGGGAGCGUUCUGUAAGCCUGCGAAGGUGACCUGUGAGGGUUGCUGGAGGUAUCAGAAGUGCGAAUGCUGACAUAAGUAACGAUAAAGCGGGUGAAAAGCCCGCUCGCCGGAAGACCAAGGGUUCCUGUCCAACGUUAAUCGGGGCAGGGUGAGUCGACCCCUAAGGCGAGGCCGAAAGGCGUAGUCGAUGGGAAACAGGUUAAUAUUCCUGUACUUGGUGUUACUGCGAAGGGGGGACGGAGAAGGCUAUGUUAGCCGGGCGACGGUUGUCCCGGUUUAAGCAUGUAGGCUGGUUAUCCAGGCAAAUCCGGAUAAUCAAGGCUGAGGUGUGAUGACGAGGCACUACGGUGCUGAAGUAACAAAUGCCCUGCUUCCAGGAAAAGCCUCUAAGCAUCAGGUAACAUCAAAUCGUACCCCAAACCGACACAGGUGGUCAGGUAGAGAAUACCAAGGCGCUUGAGAGAACUCGGGUGAAGGAACUAGGCAAAAUGGUGCCGUAACUUCGGGAGAAGGCACGCUGGUGUGUAGGUGAAGCCCCUGCGGGUGGAGCUGAGACCAGUCGAAGAUACCAGCUGGCUGCAACUGUUUAUUAAAAACACAGCACUGUGCAAACACGAAAGUGGACGUAUACGGUGUGACGCCUGCCCGGUGCCGGAAGGUUAAUUGAUGGGGUUAUCCGUAAGGAGAAGCUCUUGAUCGAAGCCCCGGUAAACGGCGGCCGUAACUAUAACGGUCCUAAGGUAGCGAAAUUCCUUGUCGGGUAAGUUCCGACCUGCACGAAUGGCGUAAUGAUGGCCAGGCUGUCUCCACCCGAGACUCAGUGAAAUUGAACUCGCUGUGAAGAUGCAGUGUACCCGCGGCAAGACGGAAAGACCCCGUGAACCUUUACUAUAGCUUGACACUGAACAUUGAGCCUUGAUGUGUAGGAUAGGUGGGAGGCUUUGAAGCGUGGACGCCAGUCUGCGUGGAGCCAACCUUGAAAUACCACCCUUUAAUGUUUGAUGUUCUAACGUUGGCCCCUGACCGGGGUUGCGGACAGUGUCUGGUGGGUAGUUUGACUGGGGCGGUCUCCUCCCAAAGCGUAACGGAGGAGCACGAAGGUUAGCUAAUCCUGGUCGGACAUCAGGAGGUUAGUGCAAUGGCAUAAGCUAGCUUGACUGCGAGCGUGACGGCGCGAGCAGGUGCGAAAGCAGGUCAUAGUGAUCCGGUGGUUCUGAAUGGAAGGGCCAUCGCUCAACGGAUAAAAGGUACUCCGGGGAUAACAGGCUGAUACCGCCCAAGAGUUCAUAUCGACGGCGGUGUUUGGCACCUCGAUGUCGGCUCAUCACAUCCUGGGGCUGAAGUAGGUCCCAAGGGUAUGGCUGUUCGCCAUUUAAAGUGGUACGCGAGCUGGGUUUAGAACGUCGUGAGACAGUUCGGUCCCUAUCUGCCGUGGGCGCUGGAGAAUUGAGGGGGGCUGCUCCUAGUACGAGAGGACCGGAGUGGACGCAUCACUGGUGUUCGGGUUGUCAUGCCAAUGGCACUGCCCGGUAGCUAAAUGCGGAAGAGAUAAGUGCUGAAAGCAUCUAAGCACGAAACUUGCCCCGAGAUGAGUUCUCCCUGAGACUUUAAGUCUCCUGAAGGAACGUUGAAGACGACGACGUUGAUAGGCCGGGUGUGUAAGCGCAGCGAUGCGUUGAGCUAACCGGUACUAAUGAACCGUGAGGCUUAACCUU
This 2902-nucleotide ribosomal RNA is filed under the name Klebsiella pneumoniae. Its description in RNAcentral is "23S ribosomal RNA". It matches the Rfam family "Bacterial large subunit ribosomal RNA". RNAcentral also lists the same sequence under 1 other name. The record is from RNAcentral. Lineage: Bacteria; Pseudomonadati; Pseudomonadota; Gammaproteobacteria; Enterobacterales; Enterobacteriaceae.